AUAACAUAUUAUAAGAAAAAAACAAAAGUGAAGUAAUUGUGAUUGAGUUGAAAUUUUUGAAGGAGGCACCCUAUCUAUACCCUUUGAAUUUGGUUUUGAUUGAGAGAUAAUUGGCAUAUCAUGUUUGUUCGAAUAAGACACGCAACACACUAUCAUUAUCUUUCACAGUUUGGUCAACACCUCAACACUAAUCAUAAAUUAAUAAAUCUCACUAGAAAUAUUUACGGCACGAAAUUAGUAGCGUUUAUUGUUUAAUUAAUAAAGUUGACACGUUACUUUACGAGUUUCUUUUUAAAUAUUAGGGGGGGAAAUCGUUUUGAUUUUAUGAUUUAUGCCAUUUUAUCUCCUUAUUGGGCUUAACUCAGCCCGUUUAUGGAAAUAUUUGGGCUGCAUAAUGCUGGCCCAUACCGGAAAUUAAUAAUGGUUGAGCCCGCUAUUGUUGAGGCCCAAAUGUGACGUGAAUUCGAUGCAAAUCGCGAACCAAAUAAACACAUCGCAAAUCGCGAUGAGAGAGAGAGAGAGAGCUAAAACCUCCAUAGAAACCCAGGGGAGGAAGGGAUUGAGCGAGAAGGAAAUGCAAAUUGUGUAUAGAGAUGCAUAAGAAUAGUGAGGGAGAGAGAGGAGAAGGCGCUUCAAUAUUCAUACAGUGAUCGCCGCAACAAGAAGCUCGAUAUGCGUUCUCUUUGGAUCCAGCGAAUCAACGCCGGCACCCCUCACCGCGGAGUAGAACGACGGGCUGAUGAAGGCGAACGAUCAAUUGAAAGCACUCUUCAGGAACAAGACGGCACUUCGCGAGAAGGAGGGCUUUGCAGUGCUCGUCUCGUUUCUCUUUUUUUUUUUUUUUUGAUGAAAUUACAUUAUAAAUAAUACAAACCACACACACACCCGACCUAGUGGUUAUUGUGGCCGAGAGUACUCGAACCUGUGACCUCUUGGACAACAGGCAACCACCCCAACCACUAGGCCAUCCCAAGGGGACCGUCUCGUUUCUCUCUUGUUUAUAUGUAGGGUUGCUAUUGGCUAACUUGAUACACGACUUUGUUUUUUUAUAGAUUCUUAUAAUAUAUGGACACCUCUAGAGAGAGAAAGCUUGAGUUGCAUCA
This is a long non-coding RNA of Salvia miltiorrhiza (redroot sage), 1103 nucleotides long. RefSeq lists it as uncharacterized. Lineage: Eukaryota; Viridiplantae; Streptophyta; Magnoliopsida; Lamiales; Lamiaceae. The record is from RefSeq and is a predicted model, not a curated record. The transcript is spliced from 2 exons.